CUCUCCCCCCGUGAACACUGUGGAUACAUCAGAGAAAGAGAAAACGGUGCAGAUCAGAUGUAUCUACAAGAAGGCCAGACUUGGGCGGGAGAAGCGAGAGGUGACGUAUGUUGUCUCCAAACGAGGUGGGAGCUCUGGUGGGGUGCGUAGACCCACCGGGGUGAAGGGGAAGUACAAGGUGGUCGACUCACGGAUGAAGAAGGAUCUCCGACGGAAAGGGGGGAAGGGGCGGCAGAAGGGGCGGAAGUAGAGCAUUCUCUCUCUCUUGAAGUAUUUUGUACAUCAUCAGUUUUGGAAUAAAAGUUUGGCGAUAUUUCAAAUCAA
Long non-coding RNA from Amblyraja radiata (thorny skate), 324 nucleotides. RefSeq lists it as uncharacterized. The transcript is spliced from 2 exons. NCBI's taxonomy places the organism in Eukaryota, Metazoa, Chordata, Chondrichthyes, Rajiformes, Rajidae. The record is from RefSeq and is a predicted model, not a curated record.